CUCACUGAUGGCUACACUGUGGCCAGCUCCUCAUUAUCUGCAUCUCACCUCACUGUGGCCCCUCGGGGCUGCUGUACCUUAGCUGUUUUCUGUCGUCCCAGCCCAGGACAGCCGAGUGAGGCAAUGCUGCCCAUAUCUACCAGUGUGGCCUUAUGGGGAGAGGCCGCUGGCCACGCUGACACAGGCUGCCCAGCUUGCUCAAGACAUCACAGGCGGCUGGCCAGGUCAAAGGCCUCCUCUGAAAUCACUCUCUGGAGGUUUGACCCAUGACCCUUUGGACCCCAUGAGCUGCUUUCCGUGCCCCCGGGAAGCAGAGGCAGAGGAUGGCAUGCCUGCAGCGCAUGCUGGAAGGGUGUACUCACUCAGAUGUGGGCUGAGGCCAGGGCCAGAGCCACAGGGGGUGCUCUGGUUCCUGGUGGGAGCCACACAGCUCAACACAAUGUCCUGGCUACCUCUGUCAGUUCUCAGCUUCAGCAUCCUCUGUGAAGGACAGGAGACUUUCUCCCCCAGACUGAAAGAGAAGCCUGGGUUGAUUUCGGAAGCUGAGAUACCAUCUAGGUUCCUGGGUACUCUAGAAGAAGACGAGGCCUCACACUCCUUCCUGGUGCUCUCUCUGAAGCCUGGAGCCUGAACACCCUCAUCCAGAGCUCUGGAAACAUCAGAUAUCUUGUCUUGUCUCAGCAUGUGGGUCUGUCACAGCUGACAUCACUCGUCAAUCACCCCAAG
This is a long non-coding RNA of Mus caroli (Ryukyu mouse), 726 nucleotides long. RefSeq lists it as uncharacterized. NCBI's taxonomy places the organism in Eukaryota, Metazoa, Chordata, Mammalia, Rodentia, Muridae. The record is from RefSeq and is a predicted model, not a curated record.